Molecule: non-coding RNA, 349 nt
Filed under: Salinivibrio sp. KP-1
Lineage: Bacteria; Pseudomonadati; Pseudomonadota; Gammaproteobacteria; Vibrionales; Vibrionaceae
Description: Bacterial small subunit ribosomal RNA
Rfam family: Bacterial small subunit ribosomal RNA
Source: Rfam by way of RNAcentral
AAAUUGAAGAGUUUGAUCAUGGCUCAGAUUGAACGCUGGCGGCAGGCCUAACACAUGCAAGUCGAGCGGAAACGGCAGUAUUGAAGCUUCGGUGGAUUUACUGGACGUCGAGCGGCGGACGGGUGAGUAACGGCUGGGAACCUGCCCUGACGAGGGGGAUAACCGUUGGAAACGACGGCUAAUACCGCAUAAUGUCUACGGACCAAAGGUGGCCUCUACAUGUAAGCUAUCGCGUUGGGAUGGGCCCAGUUAGGAUUAGCUAGUUGGUAAGGUAAAGGCUUACCAAGGCGACGAUCCUUAGCUGGUUUGAGAGGAUGAUCAGCCACACUGGGACUGAGACACGGCCCAG